RNAcentral lists this transfer RNA (63 nucleotides) under Chrysomeloidea sp. 8 KM-2017. Its description in RNAcentral is "tRNA-Phe". The record is from RNAcentral. Lineage: Eukaryota; Metazoa; Arthropoda; Insecta; Coleoptera.
AUUUAAAUAGCUUAUAAAGAGCAUAGUAUUGAAGAUACUAGGGAAACUUCAUGUUUUUAAGUA